AUGGCCAUCCCUGGCCCCAAUAAACGGUGGAAUUGGAAGCACCACCGCCAUUGCACCCCUUGCCACCGCCAGAGACCCGACACCGGCCAUGGAUUCGAUGCUAGAUUGAUGCAUGGUGUGAUAUUGAUUGCUAGGUUCUUUCUUUGCUUUUGCAAUGCGCAAUUGAAUGAUGAUGUAGUGGAUUUCAUGGUGGUGCCGACCGUGAUGGUGCGAGUGCAUGAGGCCCAUGUGAACUAUGAUGUCUUUUGGUCCACCACAUGUGGUGGUAUUUUGGAAUGA
Molecule: ribosomal RNA, 279 nt
Filed under: Triticum aestivum (bread wheat)
Lineage: Eukaryota; Viridiplantae; Streptophyta; Magnoliopsida; Poales; Poaceae
Description: partial small subunit ribosomal RNA
Source: RNAcentral